AGUUAAAAAGCUCGUAGUUGGAUUUCUGCGGGGGCGGGGCGGCCGGAUGCUUAUAGCAUCUCGAGCUAGCACUUCCCCCGCAUCCUGCCGCGAACCGUGCUACCAUUAGUUUGGUGGCGCUGGGGAUCGGCUCGUUUACUUUGAGAAAAAUAGAGUGUUCAAUGCAGGCCACACGCCUUGAAUAAGUUAGCAUGGAAUAAUGAUAAAGGACUUCGGUUCUAUUUUGUUGGUGUUCGGGACUGAAGUAAUGAUUGAUAGGGACAGUUGGGGCGGUCAGUAUUCCAAAGCGAGAGGUGAAAUUCUUAGACCUUCGGAAGACUAACAGCUGCGAAAGCGUUCCGCAAGGAUGUUCCCUUUGAUCAAGAACGAAAGUUGGGGGAUCGAAGACGAUCAGAUACCGUCGUAGUCUCAACUAUAAACUAUACCAGCUAGGGAUCGGCCGACGUUUACUUAUAUCGACUCGGUCGGCACCUUAUGAGAAAUCAAAGCAUCUGGGUUCCGGGGGGAGUAUGGUCGCAAGGCUGAAACUUAAAGGAAUUGACGGAAGGGCACCACCAGCCGUGGAGCCUGCGGUUUAAAUUUGACUCAACACGGGAAAACUUACCAGGUCCAGACAUAGUAAGGAUUGACAGAUGGAUAGCUCUUUCUUGAUUCUGUGGGUGGUGGUGCAUGGC
RNAcentral lists this ribosomal RNA (674 nucleotides) under uncultured marine eukaryote. RNAcentral describes it as "bacterial SSU rRNA". It matches the Rfam family "Eukaryotic small subunit ribosomal RNA", at positions 617 to 1288 of the family's 1831-position model. The record is from RNAcentral.